RNAcentral lists this small nuclear RNA (116 nucleotides) under Oncorhynchus tshawytscha (Chinook salmon). RNAcentral's name for it is "U5 spliceosomal RNA". It matches the Rfam family "U5 spliceosomal RNA". From Rfam's summary of the family: U5 RNA is a component of both types of known spliceosome. The precise function of this molecule is unknown, though it is known that the 5' loop is required for splice site selection and p220 binding, and that both the 3' stem-loop and the Sm site are important for Sm protein binding and cap methylation. Lineage: Eukaryota; Metazoa; Chordata; Actinopteri; Salmoniformes; Salmonidae. The record is from Rfam by way of RNAcentral.
UGACUCUGGUUUCUCUUCAUUACGCACAAGCCUUUCGCCUUUUACUAAAGACUUCCGUGGAGGGAACACUUACGAGUUCAACGUAUUUUUGGAGCGGCUUGCUUCUUGCAGAGCCC